GAUGAAGAACGUAGCGAAAUGCGAUAAGUAGUGUGAAUUGCAGAAUUCCGUGAAUCAUCGAAUCUUUGAACGCACAUUGCGCCUCCUGGUAGUCCGGGAGGCAUGCCUGUUCGAGCGUCACCAAAUCCAACUCAAGCGGUUUUGCGCUUGGUCGUGGCGGAAGAGUCGGUCUGGUUGCCGUCUCCCCUCCGAAAAUCAACGGCGGAAAGUCACUGGCAGUCAGCGUAGUAGUAUCGUUCGCCGAACAUCCAGUGGCAUUCCUGCCGACGUACCCCCCCAAUUCUCGUGAUUGACCUCGGAUCAGGUAGGGAUACCCGCUGAACUUAAGCAUAUCAAUAAGCGGAGGA
Molecule: unclassified non-coding RNA, 347 nt
Filed under: soil metagenome
Description: partial contains 5.8S ribosomal RNA, internal transcribed spacer 2, and large subunit ribosomal RNA
Rfam family: 5.8S ribosomal RNA (bases 1-120)
Source: RNAcentral